CAAACUGGAGAUGGCGACCGGCGCACGGGUGAGUAACACGUAUCCAACCUGCCGAUAACUCGGGGAUAGCCUUUCGAAAGAAAGAUUAAUACCCGAUGGCAUAAUAGAACCGCAUGGUUUGAUUAUUAAAGAAUUUCGGUUAUCGAUGGGGAUGCGUUCCAUUAGGCAGUUGGUGGGGUAACGGCCCACCAAACCUUCGAUGGAUAGGGGUUCUGAGAGGAAGGUCCCCCACAUUGGAACUGAGACACGGUCCAAACUCCUACGGGGGCAGCAUG
This 275-nucleotide ribosomal RNA is filed under the name uncultured bacterium. RNAcentral's name for it is "partial 16S ribosomal RNA". It matches the Rfam family "Bacterial small subunit ribosomal RNA", at positions 77 to 353 of the family's 1533-position model. The record is from RNAcentral.